Unclassified non-coding RNA from Cavia aperea (Brazilian guinea pig), 365 nucleotides. Its record names the gene 7SK. It matches the Rfam family "7SK RNA". Rfam says of the family: 7SK was discovered as an abundant small nuclear RNA in the mid-70s but a possible function has only recently been suggested. Two independent studies have found that 7SK RNA binds the CDK9/cyclin T complex (known as elongation factor P-TEFb). P-TEFb activates transcription by phosphorylating the C-terminal domain of RNA polymerase II. The record is from Ensembl. Lineage: Eukaryota; Metazoa; Chordata; Mammalia; Rodentia; Caviidae.
GGAUGUGAGGGCCAUCUGGCUAUGACAUCUGUCACCCCAUUGAUUGCAGGAUUGAUGUGGCUGAUCUGGCUGGCUUACGUGUUCCUUUCCUCCCUCAAUGAUCCAUGUGCAUCCUUUCCAAAGCAGCGCGCUCCGUGGAAGAGGAAGACCAAGCCCCAUAGAGGAGGUCUGUUCCUUGGUCAAGGAUAUAUUAGUACCUGCGCUACCCUGCUAGAACCUCCAAAUGAGCUCUAAAGUUUCGAUUGCUUAUCCAUAUAAAGCCUUCUCUCCAUUUCUUAUCCAGUGAAGACAGAUCUCCGGUCAAUGACGCAUGCGUGCUUUACAAUAUAAGGAAGGAGAAGAGGCCUGUUCUCUACCCUUUAUUU